UGAGGAAUAUUGGUCAAUGGUCUGACGACUGAACCAGCCAUGCCGCGUGAAGGUCACGGCCCUAUGGGUCUUAAACUUCUUUUGCGAGGGAGCAAUAAGGUCUACGUGUAGGCCGAUGAGAGUACCUCGCGAAUAAGCAUCGGCUAACUCCGUGCCAGCAGCCGCGGUAAUACGGGGGAUGCGAGCGUUAUCCGGAUUUAUUGGGUUUAAAGGGUGCGUAGGCGGCCUGUUAAGUCAGCGGUGAAAUUCAGGGGCUCAACCUCUGCCGUGCCGUUGAUACUGGCAAGCUGGAAUGCGGAUGCCGUGGGAGGAAUGUGUGGUGUAGCGGUGAAAUGCAUAGAUAUCACACAGAACACCGAUUGCGAAGGCAUCUCACGAAUCCGCUAUUGACGCUGAUGCACGAAAGCGUGGGGAUCAAACAGG
This 423-nucleotide ribosomal RNA is filed under the name Acidobacteriota bacterium. RNAcentral's name for it is "Acidobacteria bacterium partial 16S ribosomal RNA". It matches the Rfam family "Bacterial small subunit ribosomal RNA", at positions 355 to 776 of the family's 1533-position model. Lineage: Bacteria; Pseudomonadati; Acidobacteriota. The record is from RNAcentral. RNAcentral also lists the same sequence under 1 other name.